GGGUAGAGGUGAUAUGACAAUCGAACACGGAGAUAGCUGGUUCUCCCCGAAAUAGCUUUAGGGCUAGCGUCAUGCGUUUAGAACUGGAGGUACAGCACUGAAUGGGCUAUGGGGCUUACAGCUUACAGAACCCAAUCAAAACUCGGAAUGCCAGUUCUCCAUAGCAUGGCAGUCGGACUCCGGGAGAUGAGUUUCGGGGUCGAAAGGGAAACAGCCCAGAUCAUCGGCUAAGGUCCUAAAAUCUAUGCUAAGUGGGAAACGAGGUGAGGUUACUUAAACAACCAGGAGGUUGGCUUAGAAGCAGCCACCCUUUAAAAAGUGCGUAACAGCUUACUGGUCUAGUGACUUCGCGCGGAAAACGUAACGGGGCUAAGCAUAGUACCGAAGCCAUGAGUCUCAACGCAAGUUGGGGCAGUAGGGGAGCGUUCUGUCAGCGGUGAAGGUCGAUCGUAAGGGCGACUGGAGCGGACAGAAGUGAGAAUGCAGGCAUGAGUAGCGUACAAACACGUGAGAACCGUGUUCGCCGUAAG
RNAcentral lists this ribosomal RNA (530 nucleotides) under uncultured bacterium. Its description in RNAcentral is "bacterial LSU rRNA". It matches the Rfam family "Bacterial large subunit ribosomal RNA", at positions 813 to 1343 of the family's 2925-position model. The record is from RNAcentral.